This is a long non-coding RNA of Mytilus trossulus (common blue mussel), 2763 nucleotides long. RefSeq lists it as uncharacterized. NCBI's taxonomy places the organism in Eukaryota, Metazoa, Mollusca, Bivalvia, Mytilida, Mytilidae. The transcript is spliced from 2 exons. The record is from RefSeq and is a predicted model, not a curated record.
AUUUGAUUUAUUAAAUUAUAGUUUAUACACAAUACAAUGUAUCUGUUAUCAAUGAUUUCAGCAGGCAGGUAUCUAGUCUAUUCUUAGGCAAUUACAUAACAUCUAUUUUUAGCUUAGUAGGAAUAGUGCCCUAGAGGGGGGUUAGAGUAUUGUUGAUGAAUUGAGAGGAAGCAUCGUUGUAUUUGAUGCAUUACAAUCAGUUAUUUUACUGUUUUCGAACCAUAUUCGAAAUUGUUUUAUUUUUUAUGUUAACGGAUAUUGACAUGGAUAUACGUUUCUUUGGAAUAGUGAUUGGAUAUUGUACAUUUGAUUGAGUAAUUGUUAUCACUUCAAUAUCACUUUCCAAGUGCGUGCUAUGGGUACGCGCCCAGGUAACACAGAUAAUCGUAUUAUGAUCUUUAAUAUUUCGAAACUGGAUUAACUCUUCUUGUAGAGUUGAGAACAAGAACAUAGAUGUCCAGCUCACGCUAUGAGAUGACUGAUUGACCUUAUUUCGAUAUCGAGACAUUCGGCCAUGACAGCAUUUUCAAGUGCGCGAUCCCACAUUGCAACGCAUAUAUGUAAACAAUAACAAUAAUUGGAAUAGAACUACGAUUGAGUAGACUAAGUGUGUAAACGUUCAUUCAAUAUUUAAUACACAUCUUGAUUAAUAAAUAACUGUUUGUCAGCAUUUUCCAAAAUGUCAGUAUCAUUACAAGUUUCCCGUACGUUAUGCCCGCCAGUUUUAUCGCUACAUGUAUGUCGACGGCAUUCAAUAUUCCAUAAACACUACGUUUGAACUCAUGCUAUAUCAGUAUACACACUAGCUAUGUAUACACAUUCCAUUUGCCUUAAUGCUUACUUUCUUUGAUAAGCAGCCGAUAAGCAUGUUUCUACCGCCCAGGCUCAGGAGUCAAUGAUCGUGAUACAUGAGAUAUAUACGAUAUGUUAUGGUUAUUAUGCACAACCUCUGCCUCUGGCGGACACUUGUUUCAACGUAGAAUAUAUAGUUCCAGAUUAGUCCUUACAUUGUAUAAAUUCAGCAGUUCUUCAACACUAGCACAAGGACUGAGGGAACGCUUAGAUCAUACAGAACACUUCGGGUUUACCAUAUACUAGUAUACAGGUUUAUCAUAUACUACUGCAGAGUAGAGUGUGAAGAGCAGCAUGGAGAUUCGAGGACAUGUAUACUCAAGCACAUAUAUGUCUGAACUUCUUAAGGAUAUGCAACUGAAUGUAUUGUAUUGGUGGAAACUUUGCCUUUGUUAAGUAUAAGAAAAUACAGAUACAGAUACAGAUAUUAAAACCUUCGUUUUUCGGAUGAAGACUUCAGAACUUUAUAGCACCGUUAUAUAUGAGACAAACAAUACCCUGAUGCCUGCCUUCAUAUAUAGUAUAAUGUGUUAGACAACAGUUCAACUUUUGUUUAUUUUAACUUAUCGUUUUCGGAUGCAGAAUUCAGAACUAUUAAGCAAUAGACAUGAGGAUAGCUAUAUCUUGAUGCAGACUUCAGAACUAUAUAGCACCGUUUAUAUAAGGAGGACGAUACCUUGAUUCAUGCAUUCAUAGUUAAUGUGUCAGAACUACAGUCACACUUCUUUAAACAUUAAACGCAAGAAUUUUAACUACAUGUAUGUAAGACAGAUUUAUUUUAUCCGUCUGGGUAAGAGAGAAGUGAUUAUUGUGAGCACUCUUUCAGAACUAGUAGAGGGUUCGUUCUAAAGCACAACAGGAAGGUGUGGUUAUUGGAAUUAUUGUAUUGUUAAUGUCAUUUUUUUUUUUUUUUUUUUUUUCAUUUUUUUUUUACAUUUGUAUUUGCUACCAUUAUUAUUUCUUGGGGGCUUUCAUUCUUUCAUUUUAUGAACUCAUUUCAUUUGGCUUUUAAUUCCAGGGGAAUCAUACUCCCCCAAUUCAAUAAUACAUCAGAUAGGUUAAUUCCUGUCGAGGAACAAAUUGUAUUUUAAGUAGUAUUUUUACUACGCUGGGAUCGCCCAGGAGCAAUUAGGUUCAUUCUUGUCGAGGAAUGUAGGUUCAUUCCUGGGGAUCGCCCCAGGAAACACAUAGGCUCAUUCCUGGGGAUCGCCCCAGGAAACACAUAGGUUCAUUCCUGGGGAUCGCCCCAGGAAACACAUAGGCUCAUUCCUGGGGAUCGCCCCAGGAAACACAUAGGUUCAUUCCUGGGGAUCGCCCCAGGAAACACAUAGGCUCAUUCCUGGGGAUCGCCCCAGGAAACACAUAGGCUCAUUCCUGGGGAUCGCCCCAGGAAACACAUAGGUUCAUUCCUGGGGAUCGCCCCAGGAACAUUUUUUACUAAUCGCAUAUUUUAAUUUUUCUCAUAUUUUGAUAAGUUUUGAAUUUAUUUUCUCAUAUUUUGAAUAGUUUGAAAUGUUUAUUUCAAUUCUCUUAAGUGAAUGAGUAGCCCCCAGAAAGCCAAUAAUGUAUUAUAUAGUUUGUCAUAUAAUGUAGAAAAAUAUGUACGGUUAUGAUACAGUUUAUUUUAAUAUUUAGUUGUAGUUUUAGUAUGUUUUGAUAUUUGAAUAAUAAAACAUAUAUCUUAAAUUGUGUUGUGUAUAAAAGGAAAUUUGAUUUAUUAAAUUAUAGUUUAUACACAAUACAAUGUAUCUGUUAUCAAUGAUUUCAGCAGGCAGGUAUCUAGUCUAUUCUUAGGCAAUUACAUAACAUCUAUUUUUAGCUUAGUAGGAAUAGUGCCCUAGAGGGGGGUUAGAGUAUUGUUGAUGAAUUGAGAGGAAGCAUCGUUGUAUUUGAUGCAUUACAAUCAGUUAU